GACGAACGCUGGCGGCGUGCCUAAUACAUGCAAGUCGAGCGCGGGAAGCUAACUGAAACCUUCGGGUGGACGUUAGUGGAACGAGCGGCGGACGGGUGAGUAACACGUGGGUAACCUGUCUGUAAGACUGGGAUAACUCCGGGAAACCGGGGCUAAUACCGGAUAACACCUCGGAUCGCAUGAUCCGAAGUUGAAAGAUGGUUCUGCUAUCACUUACAGAUGGACCCGCGGCGCAUUAGCUAGUUGGUGAGGUAAUGGCCCACCAAGGCGACGACGGGUAGCCGGCCUGAGAGGGCGACCGGCCACACUGGGACUGAGACACGGCCCAG
RNAcentral lists this ribosomal RNA (329 nucleotides) under uncultured bacterium. Its description in RNAcentral is "bacterial SSU rRNA". It matches the Rfam family "Bacterial small subunit ribosomal RNA", at positions 28 to 334 of the family's 1533-position model. The record is from RNAcentral.